CAACAUCUGUGGUUGAAGCCACUUGGUCCGUGCCACUCUGUCAUGGCAGCCCCAGCAGACUGACGCGCCUAUUCUACUCCUGUGGCUGCGGCUGUAACUCACCCUCCCAUUUAACACACAGGCCCUUCUGCUUUGAAGACGCUGUUUCGGGCCUGCUGCCCCCACCCCCUGCGCACACAUGCUCUCGGGGAAAUCUGCAAGGCCACCUGAGUGACAGGGUGCCCGGCCUCCCCACGCUCCCGGCCUCCAGCCUCGGAGACUCACCAGCGCUUCCACGUCGUCUUCGUCGUUCAGGUCAUCGUCAUCUUCCUCGGUCAAGGACAGAGUCAUGUGUCGGGUGAAGGAAGCCAUGCCCAGAGGUGACAGACAGGCGGCAGGAUGAAGAUGGCGCUGGUAAUGUCUGGAAGUGACCAGCGACUAGUACCCAGAACUGUUAAGAGCAGCAACGGGAAAUCGGGAAGGAGUGGGCGAGAACGACGUGCAGAAGAGGAGCAGAGAAGAGUUCACAGACACUCGAGACCUCAAACUCCGCCAGCGGAGAAGUGCAGAGGAAGGCCCCGCUCCUUCAUCCCAGCUCAACCGCAGUAAU
Sciurus carolinensis (gray squirrel) is the source of this 589-nucleotide long non-coding RNA. RefSeq lists it as uncharacterized. NCBI's taxonomy places the organism in Eukaryota, Metazoa, Chordata, Mammalia, Rodentia, Sciuridae. The transcript has 3 exons. The record is from RefSeq and is a predicted model, not a curated record.